CUAGUUUGUUGCAAUAUUGGACAGUACUUUAAACCUUAUAAGUAACUAUAUAAUGCAAGAAUAAUUCUAUUCUGCAACACUUUCUAGAACUGAGAGAAAGAUCCUUCUAGUAAAUCGAUAAAGAUGUUAAACACAUACAAAGUUAUGUACUAAUGUUAGAAUUCAAAGUUAAUUCAAAGAGAAUAUUAAACCAGAGUAGAAUGACUGAAGAAACCCACCACCCUUCCAAAAAAAAAAAAGAAAAAAAAAAAAAGGUGAGAGACAACAUUAAAACCAGCGACAGAUAACAUGAAUAACUGAUUAUAUAGGGACAGAUGAAGUGAUAUAUUAGGCAGCAAGUGAACUGUCC
Pelobates cultripes (western spadefoot toad) is the source of this 349-nucleotide non-coding RNA. NCBI's taxonomy places the organism in Eukaryota, Metazoa, Chordata, Amphibia, Anura, Pelobatidae. The record is from the annotation of a GenBank genome assembly.